CCUACGGGAGGCAGCAGUGGGGAAUUUUGGACAAUGGGGGCAACCCUGAUCCAGCAUGCCGCGUGAGUGAAGAAGGCCUUCGGGUUGUAAAGCUCUUUUGUCAGGGAAGAAAGGGUGAUUCUUAAUACGGAUUGCUAAUGACGGUACCUGAAGAAUAAGCACCGGCUAACUACGUGCCAGCAGGCGCGGUAAUA
Molecule: ribosomal RNA, 194 nt
Filed under: uncultured bacterium
Lineage: Bacteria
Description: partial 16S ribosomal RNA
Rfam family: Bacterial small subunit ribosomal RNA
Source: RNAcentral